RNAcentral lists this ribosomal RNA (460 nucleotides) under uncultured bacterium. RNAcentral describes it as "partial 16S ribosomal RNA". It matches the Rfam family "Bacterial small subunit ribosomal RNA", at positions 338 to 795 of the family's 1533-position model. The record is from RNAcentral.
CCUACGGGUGGCUGCAGUGAGGAAUAUUGGUCAAUGGACGAGAGUCUGAACCAGCCAAGCCGCGUGAAGGAUGACUGCCCUAUGGGUUGUAAACUUCUUUUAUAUGGGAAUAAAACGUUCCACGUGUGGGAUUUUGUAUGUAUCAUAUGAAUAAGGAUCGGCUAACUCCGUGCCAGCAGCCGCGGUAAUACGGAGGAUCCGAGCGUUAUCCGGAUUUAUUGGGUGUAAAGGGAGCGUAGGUGGAUUGUUAAGUCAAUUGUGAAAGUUUGCGGCUCAACCGUAGAAUUGCAGUUGAAACUGGCAGUCUUGAGUACAGUAGAGGUAGGCGGAAUUCGUGGUGUAGCGGUGAAAUGCUUAGAGAUCACGAAGAACUCCGAUUGCGAAGGCAGUUCACUGGACUGCAACUGACACUGAGGCUCGAAAGUGUGGGUAUCAAACAGGAUUAGAUACCCGUGUAGUC